GCGGUGGAGGAGGGAGACGGGUG
RNAcentral lists this non-coding RNA (23 nucleotides) under Cricetulus griseus (Chinese hamster). The record is from RNAcentral. Lineage: Eukaryota; Metazoa; Chordata; Mammalia; Rodentia; Cricetidae.